Otolemur garnettii (small-eared galago) is the source of this 104-nucleotide small nuclear RNA. The record is from Ensembl. Lineage: Eukaryota; Metazoa; Chordata; Mammalia; Primates; Galagidae.
AUGCUUGCUUCGACAGCACAUCUACUACAAUUGGAAAGAUACAGAGAUUAGCAUGGCCCCUGUGCAAGGAUGACAUGCAAAUUCGUGAAGCAUCCCCUAUUUUA